Long non-coding RNA from Brassica oleracea var. oleracea, 388 nucleotides. RefSeq lists it as uncharacterized. The record is from RefSeq and is a predicted model, not a curated record. Lineage: Eukaryota; Viridiplantae; Streptophyta; Magnoliopsida; Brassicales; Brassicaceae. The transcript has 3 exons.
GCUUGAGAUAAUAUUCCAACAAAGUUACAUGUAAAAGUUGUAGCUGUUUAGGCAACCGAAAAGAGCUAAGACAGCUUUUCAGGACAUUGAACAGCAAGAAACGUCAAACGCAAAAAACAAACAUGGUCGAGUACUCAUUCCUACGGACGCCAUUUGGUGGUCGAGUGGGCCAAAAAUGACAGUAGCAUGGAAGAGAAGCAGCAUCAUUCAAUUGGUAAGUACCAAGAAAUGAGCUUCUAAAGAGGAGAACUGGAGAAGAACAGAAAUAACCACACUUUCUCUGUUAAGAAUUUGUGUUGACCACUGUGAUUGAUAAUUCUCAAUGCUUGAACUUUCGCUCUGUACUGGCUUAAUAUAUUAGACUAUUAAUUUAUGUUUUUAUUUUGUG